UGGAAAAACAAGGGAUGAGUGAGCAACAAACACGUUGCAACAGCAGUCAGCGGGCCAAAUCAACAACGACAAUUGCACGACUGAAACCACCAUUCGAAGGCGAAUCCGUAGAUACCCGACAACCCACAAUCAAAUCCAACCCUUGCAUAGAAAAGCCAUCAGGAGGAGACAGGGAUCAUUGCAAGACAUAAAGCAAUGCAGGGAAAUUGUCGGUGCUGCAAACCAAAGCUCCGAAGCUAAAUGAGAACGGUAUACUAUUCUCUGGUUCAGGAUGCUUAUUAACUCAACGGAAGAAAGACAACCGGCAAGGAAGAACAGAUGAAUGUACAGUUGACCCAAUGUACAGUUGACCCGGCUGCACGACCGCCGGCAAACAGACUGAAAAAAAAAGAUGUUUCAUGAUACCGGCUCGGCAGUACACAGAAAAUACGCAAAACAUCAGCGGAAGAGUGGUAGUAUGAACGGAACCAAAUUGUCUGAGUUGAUGAGCGGCUUAGUAAAUUACAUACAAAAUAGCGAAUUCACAAUCAAGAACCACUAAAAGAAGAGAAAUCGCCCGUGUAGCUCAAAACAGCUAAAUCAACAGAGAAGGAAUUCGCUGCAAUUGAGUCCUCGCACAAAAGCUCACCAAAUCUGAAGAAAAGUUAACCGGAAAUGAAACCAAGACGCUGCAGAAUUUCACUCAACCCGCAAAAAGGGAACCGGUUAAUUGCACAUUGGAAGGAUCCGCCGAAUUUAAAGAGCGGGUCAGGUCACCAGAAGAUGAACGUGGAACAUAUCUUUUUUACACAGCUGAAACAAAUUCAGAAGGGCCCGUUAUAUCAACACGGAUAAAUGGGCAUAUACUUCCAAUGAAGUGUCAACUAGAGAUGAAAUCGUUGCGCUGCAGAAAAUCGCCCAACCCCAGAGCUGCAACAUGUCACUUGUAAAUUUGGAAGGACCUGCUGUUUACCGAAUGGAUCAAGUUACCAGAAGAUGAACGUAAAACCCAGCGAGUGGCCGCAUUCCGGACUUCUCGAAAUCAUCCACUUCAGAAGCCGGAACGAAUAGCCACGCUAACAGUUUUCCGUUUAAACCAGCAAAGAUAAAACAUCUGUGAGAGAUGAACAUCCAGGGAGCUUGACUAUGCGUCAAAUUGAAGAUGAGGCAAAUAUUGGAUGUCGCCAUGCCGAGACACGAAAGAACAGCAAUUUUCUCAUCAGGAAUCUGGAGCGGUUUCUGAAGAGAAGCCCAAAACAAGCAAAGAUGAGAAGUGAAGACAAAUUUAAAAUCAACCCGAGCUGAAGUAAAAUUAACGGAUUACAGCACAAGAAAAACCCGAUAAAGAAGGGGAAGACCACAGCUACAGCAAUACUGUCAGGUCAUCCGCCUACAAAACCAAGCAAACGCCUCCAGAAAAGGAUUUGCAAUUGCAACUUUCGUGAAAUGGAACAAGAAAUUUGUAUAACUAAGGCCAGAAUCAAGCGAAAGAAAUUCACAAAGAACAGAACAUCUGAGCACAAGGCCCCUCGAAAUCGCGAGAAACCAGCAAAAUGGCGUCGGUGAAAGGCGAAAGAUCGAGAGAAAGGACGGAAAGCAUAAAAAGGGGAGGAGAGACGGCGCUCCCUCUCACUGCUCCUCCGGACGUCACUCGCAAACAGUGCUCCUCCGGGCGUCACCACGCAGCCGAGAUCCAGUCAGCGCUACACUUCGCAGCAGCCUCUUCGGCGACCAUCGGUUGCAAGUGAGUCUGAAGCGGACACAUCAGAACGCAUCCUGGCCCCCUUCACCAUGUAACCACGCCUCAUAAUUCAUAUUCACCCCUAGCCGCCGGUUACAAUUAUGAUACUUGUUGGUCUUUCCGUUUGUGCGGGUGCCACCCCGGGUAUGGUCCAACCCUUUGUAGACAUUCACCGGUCGGGGGAGGGGGUUCGUUUAGUAAGUCUACAUCGCCCACCCGGUAUA
This is a long non-coding RNA of Amphibalanus amphitrite, 1944 nucleotides long. RefSeq lists it as uncharacterized. The record is from RefSeq and is a predicted model, not a curated record. The transcript is spliced from 2 exons. Lineage: Eukaryota; Metazoa; Arthropoda; Thecostraca; Balanomorpha; Balanidae.